RNAcentral lists this ribosomal RNA (1048 nucleotides) under Microascaceae sp. Its description in RNAcentral is "LSU rRNA". It matches the Rfam family "Eukaryotic large subunit ribosomal RNA", at positions 222 to 1297 of the family's 3401-position model. The record is from RNAcentral. Lineage: Eukaryota; Fungi; Ascomycota; Sordariomycetes; Microascales; Microascaceae.
CGUAUGGUUGGACACCGAGCCUAUGUAAAGCUCCUUCAACGAGUCGAGUAGUUUGGGAAUGCUGCUCAAAAUGGGAGGUAAACCCCUUCUAAAGCUAAAUACCGGCCAGAUACCGAUAGCGCACAAGUAGAGUGAUCGAAAGAUGAAAAGCACUUUGAAAAGAGAGUUAAAUAAGCACGUGAAAUUGUUGAAAGGGAAGCGCUUGCGACCAGACUUGCGCCCGUCGGAUCAACCGUCGCUUGCGGCGGCUCACUCCGGCGGGCUCAGGCCAGCAUCAGCUUUCCGGGGGGGAGAAAGGCGGUGGGAACGUAGCUCCUCGGAGUGUUAUAGCCCGCCGCGUAAUACCCCCUGGGGGGCUGAGGACCGCGCAUCUGCAAGGAUGCUGGCGUAAUGGUUGUCAGCGACCCGUCUUGAAACACGGACCAAGGAGUCGUCCUAAUAUGCGAGUGUACGGGUGUCAAACCCCUGCGCGUAAUGAAAGUGAACGUAGGUGAGAGCUUCGGCGCAUCAUCGACCGAUCCUGAUGUUCUCGGAUGGAUUUGAGUAAGAGCAUAUUGGGCCGGACCCGAAAGAAGGUGAACUAUGCCUGUAUAGGGUGAAGCCAGAGGAAACUCUGGUGGAGGCUCGCAGCGGUUCUGACGUGCAAAUCGAUCGUCAAAUAUGGGCAUGGGGGCGAAAGACUAAUCGAACCUUCUAGUAGCUGGUUUCCGCCGAAGUUUCCCUCAGGAUAGCAGUGUUGAAUUCUCAGUUUUAUGAGGUAAAGCGAAUGAUUAGGGACUCGGGGGCGCUAUUUAGCCUUCAUCCAUUCUCAAACUUUAAAUAUGUAAGAAGCCCUUGUUACUUCAUUGAACGUGGGCCUUCGAAUGUAUCAACACUAGUGGGCCAUUUUUGGUAAGCAGAACUGGCGAUGCGGGAUGAACCGAUCGCGGGGAUAAGGUGCCGGAGUGGACGCUCAUCAGACACCACAAAAGGUGUUAUCACAUCUUGACAGCAGGACGGUGGCCAUGGAAGUCGGAAUCCGCUAAGGACUGUGUAACAACUCACCUGC